CGGACCGGCGCACGGGUGAGUAACGCGUAUGCAACUUACCUAUCAGAGGGGGAUAACCCGGCGAAAGUCGGACUAAUACCGCAUGAAGCAGGGGCCCCGCAUGGGGAUAUUUGCUAAAGAUUCAUCGCUGAUAGAUAGGCAUGCGUUCCAUUAGGCAGUUGGCGGGGUAACGGCCCACCAAACCGACGAUGGAUAGGGGUUCUGAGAGGAAGGUCCCCCACAUUGGUACUGAGACACGGACCAA
This 244-nucleotide ribosomal RNA is filed under the name uncultured bacterium. Its description in RNAcentral is "partial 16S ribosomal RNA". It matches the Rfam family "Bacterial small subunit ribosomal RNA", at positions 91 to 334 of the family's 1533-position model. The record is from RNAcentral.